RNAcentral lists this ribosomal RNA (550 nucleotides) under uncultured bacterium. Its description in RNAcentral is "partial 16S ribosomal RNA". It matches the Rfam family "Bacterial small subunit ribosomal RNA", at positions 355 to 919 of the family's 1533-position model. The record is from RNAcentral.
UGGGGAAUAUUGCACAAUGGGCGAAAGCCUGAUGCAGCAACGCCGCGUGAGUGAUGAAGGUCUUCGGAUUGUAAAGCUCUGUCUUUUGGGACGAUAAUGACGGUACCAAAGGAGGAAGCCACGGCUAACUACGUGCCAGCAGCCGCGGUAAUACGUAGGUGGCGAGCGUUGUCCGGAUUUACUGGGCGUAAAGGGUGCGUAGGCGGAUGUUUAAGUGAGAUGUGAAAUACCCGGGCUUAACUUGGGUGCUGCAUUUCAAACUGGAUAUCUAGAGUGCAGGAGAGGAGAAUGGAAUUCCUAGUGUAGCGGUGAAAUGCGUAGAGAUUAGGAAGAACACCAGUGGCGAAGGCGAUUCUCUGGACUGUAACUGACGCUGAGGCACGAAAGCGUGGGUAGCAAACAGGAUUAGAUACCCUGGUAGUCCACGCCGUAAACGAUGAGUACUAGGUGUAGGAGGUAUCGACCCCUUCUGUGCCGCAGUAAACACAUUAAGUACUCCGCCUGGGAAGUACGAUCGCAAGAUUAAAACUCUAAAGUGAAUUGACGGGGU